This 786-nucleotide ribosomal RNA is filed under the name uncultured bacterium. Its description in RNAcentral is "bacterial SSU rRNA". It matches the Rfam family "Bacterial small subunit ribosomal RNA", at positions 8 to 796 of the family's 1533-position model. The record is from RNAcentral.
AGAGUUUGAUCAUGGCUCAGAACGAACGCUGGCGGCGUGCUUAACACAUGCAAGUCGAGUGCGCGUCUGUAGCAAUACAGAUGGCGCACGGCGCACGGGUGCGUAACACGUGGGCAAUCUGCCCUUCGAUGGGGAAUAACUCCGGGAAACCGAAGCUAAUUCCGCAUAACAUUCCUUGGACUUCGGUUCGAGGAUUCAAAGCCGUAAGGCGUCGAAGGAGGAGCCCGCGCACGAUUAGCUAGUUGGUAGGGUAACGGCCUACCGAGGCUUUGAUCGUUAGCUGGUCUGAGAGGAUGGCCAGCCACACUGGAACUGAGACACGGUCCAGACUCCUACGGGAGGCAGCAGUGGGGAAUCUUGCACAAUGGGCGAAAGCCUGAUGCAGCGACGCCGCGUGGGGGAUGAAGCAUCUCGGUGUGUAAACCCCUUUCGACUGGGACGAAUGCCUCGCAAGAGGAGUGACGGUACCAGUAGAAGAAGCCCCGGCUAACUACGUGCCAGCAGCCGCGGUAAGACGUAGGGGGCCAGCGUUGUUCGGAAUUACUGGGUGUAAAGGGUUCGUAGGCGGUGUGGCAAGUUGGGAGUGAAAUCUCUGGGCUCAACCCAGAGGCUGCUUCCAAAACUGCCAUGCUUGAGUGUGGGAGAGGCGCGUGGAAUUGCAGGUGUAGCGGCGAAAUGCGUAGAUAUCUGCAGGAACACCCGUGGCGAAAGCGGCGCGCUGGACCACUACUGACGCUGAGGAACGAAAGCUAGGGGAGCAAACAGGAUUAGAUACCCUAGUAGUCC